Molecule: long non-coding RNA, 213 nt
Organism: Ipomoea nil (Japanese morning glory)
Lineage: Eukaryota; Viridiplantae; Streptophyta; Magnoliopsida; Solanales; Convolvulaceae
Exons: 3
Source: RefSeq, a predicted model, not a curated record
UCGUAUUGACCAAUCCAAGUGUCUGCAUACUUCAAAUCCUUGGCAACAGUAGCAAAGCCUCUGGGGAAAGUCGAGAUCCUAAGGUAAGAAGCAGCCCUUGAAGCCCAAACCCGCAUAGCCAUCUUUACUCACACCGCCGCUUAGAAUACACACAGAAAGAAGCACGCCGCCCUUUGUUAACUCUUGAAUGGCUACAACUCCUCAAGCUCGGAA